AGCCAAGCCGUGAGGCGUGCUAGAUAUUAGCAGUCCGCUUCUCCUGACCUUUACCUCGGAAAAGGACUAGAACAAAGUGUUUUUUUUGCGGGGAAGAACAAAGUUUGAGCUUCUUACGUCAAGCUCGGCAUGGUCGACCUAUCCAAGUCCGAAGGCUAUAUUAGACAGUUGAGCAAUUUAUGGGAUGGGGGGGAAAAUGAUACAACGAUAGGCAACAAAUGCUAAAAGUACCACUCAACACUAUAUGUGGUGGGGACUGCUUUUGUUCCAUUAUCUUGAUGAUAGUGGACUUAGACCGAAAGAUCAUAUGGAAAAAUAAGAAGCACAACUCAACAAUCGGUUCCACAACUUUCUUUAAUUAGUUGCAUGAACUUUUUUGGAGGAAUUUCACAAGGAAACUACCAGAUAAUCCUGUGAAAGGCCACUAACCAAUAGCUUUUUUCUCACCGAUAUAUGCUGAAAUCGAGCUCUGCAGCUUCUCUGAGGAACGCACAACCCAUAAUUUUAGGAAAUCUCUGGCUGUCUCUUUCCACCGUACUUUCCUUAUUAGCGGACCCUGCAACAUCGGAUGAAGCACCUUUUUAGUGUUCCUACCUUUCAUGGAUCUGUGUGCUCGAACCAUUUUUAUCUUCUCCAUCCAUAGGUGUGCACUGCCAUGGUUGGACCUCCAACAUAUCUGGUAGGUGGUAGCCUUAACGUUGUGAUAAAGAUAAUCUACCACCUGAGGCAGAAACAUCUUGUCAGAGUUGGUCCGGGUGAACAUUAACAUGUGUGAGGUGUUGGUGCUUCUCUUCAUCGAUUGCCUCUAUUGCAUAUCCGGCUUUAACUGCAUACUUUGGGUCCUCCUCCAAAGAGUCAUGGGGAAGGAAUAGAAAUCCGAGCUUCAACAAGGGGGAGUUGUCUAGGGAAGCAAAUGUGUCAUCAUAGCCAACGGAGCUUGUGGAUGAGGAUACGGGAACAACCAAAUUAUUGUACUCGGAUAGUGAGAUGUGACGCUGUAAAAACACUAGGCAGACUGGUUCCGGAAAUAUGCUUGAAAGCCUCAAGUAGUUUUCAAUAUCGUUGCUACUGCCUCCACCACAAGAAGAUUCAUUGCCUUUGUGCUCGUAUCCUUGACAACAUAAUGGAUCUUGACGGUACCAUCCAGUCAAAGAUUUGUGGACAUGAUUCCACAACCCUGGAUUCCAUUGUUCCAUUUGGGCAUUCGCAACCUCAGCUGGCACACAUGCGAAAUCUUGUGUUGGCAACUGGGUGAUCUCUUUGAUAGCGACAUCGGCCAUGGACUUGAAGUGAGGUGUCACCAGUUGUAAGCACUUGACUAUCGUUCCGAUUAUAUCUGUACUCUCUGAGAGACGCAAGAUGAAGCCGAGGCGAACAUUAUUCUUGGGCACCUUGCAAUCUUGGUACGUGAAGGACAACAGGGCCUCUAGUCCACGAUCCUUGAAACACAUUGGACCUAUACCGAAGCAGUGGUACUGGCCUCCUGGAUGCGAUGCCUCAUACAUUAAUGAUUCGCCUGAAAACAUAUGCCCAAUCAGAGGGUCGAAAAAGAGAUGCGGCCAACGUGGCAUUCCGCCGAGAUGCACAAAUCUCAUGAAUUCACUGGCACCAUCCGCGAGCCUCUCAAAUUUUCUGACAGCGGCAAUGACGUUGUGGCCAGCUGAGCAAUGAUCAUUGUUGUUGUUGCUGCCGACAAAAGAGGAGACUAGUGCACUGGUCGCAUGAGCGAUCCGUCUAGGAAACGAGGAUUGCCUUCCCAGAUGUUCCUUCUCGUCUUCUUCCUCAGAGAGCUUCCUGCAUCUGCGUGCUGCGUCAUUGCAGUCCCGGGCAGCGCACUUCAGUUUUUUUCGCCAGUGGAGCAGCGACACGUCGGUGAUCUGCCACUUGCCGGACGUCUCCAGUGCGGCCUCCAUUUUGAUGCGCGCCAUCUCCAACCUCUCCAGGCCAUCUCCUGCUGCUUCUUGGUCCGAUUUGUCAUCGUCUUUUCUAGUGGUGGUGGCAAUAUACCAGAAAAGACUAGGCUAACUGCUUCCCCAACAAUGGUAGAACUCAGGAUCUCGGUCAUUAAUUAUUGAUUCUAUACCUACCUGCUCGAGAAAUGGACUUCCCUUGCUGCUCUCCCCCGGCUCUCACUUCAAUUGCUUUUAUCACCACUCCUUCGGUGAAUCCGGUGAGCGGCUGAAACAUCAAAGUGCAGCUGUGCAUAAAUCUUUACAACACGGCAUCGCUGUCUGUCACUUUGCCAUCCGGACUCUCCACCGUAAGCCUCGUGAAAAACACCAUUAUGACUUCACUUACAGCAACCUCCGAAAUAUUAGGAGACAAGAAUUAGUCAAGGCACUAAUCUACUCGGACAUUAGGCACUUAGGAAUUAGCACAACACUAAGAUAAAGUAGAAUUGUCUGCUACUCCUCCUCAAUUCCAUGCAUAGUACAGUAUAUGUUUGUCUCUAAUGAUCUAAUCUCAGAGCAAAUUUAAAUUCAUCAUCGCUUAGUCUCGUGCCCUUCAUCGCCUCCAUAUAUGGAUCUAGGAGAGAGCAUGAAUAUGCCGAUCUUGGUCUGACUGAAGAAACAAAGCAUCCCCCUCCUCGGCAAUACCGAAUUAGAAUUCUCGCGCAUAUAUGCAUGCACGUCUGAGGAUUUUGGUGGAAUCGCGUUCGUUCAGUUUUGCGGCGCACGUGCAUGUCUCGUCCCAAAGAAUACACUGAACUGAGAGAGCAGAGGCGAGAAUCCAACGUACUUGUCAUAACAAACUCCUAGUCCUCCGGGAGCCAAAGAAAAAGCAUUGACCAUGUAAUGAGCCAGUGUGUGUAAGCAUAAAACUUGAGGAAGAACAGAUACAAUUUCUACUUGUCCAUCGAACGCGCGAGGACAACUUAUCCAUGGAUCUUGCCAUCAUAUGUUACGCUCUUGGUUUCAUUCACUCCUCAGGAUCACUGGAUCAGAUCGUUACAGGUAUUGGAACAUGAAGCAAAGACUGGGAACAUAAUCCGUGACAGAGAACAGGUGCCUCGUCCUUCUUUCCAACCUUGGUCUUGGGCCGGCCGUCCGUCCGGAACUCAAACGUGGGUUGGGCUUCGGUAUCCUCCUGGGCCGGCCAGCUGGUGCCUGCUGGGCUGUUGCGAUGACGCCCCACCGACGCUAGGGUCGGGACAUCAUAAUGUUUUUUUAUUCAUAAUAUGAUCUCAUAUAUCAUACUGUAUUAGUAAAUCCAGCGCCCGUGUGAAUUUUGCAUGCACUUUUUUUUUGCGCAUAAUUUUGCAUGCAUUUUUAACGGGACAGAUUAUUGAAAGCGUCAUCAUAGUAGCUACAUACAAAUGUAUACAUGACAAUCUAUUCGGAAAAAAAAGAGUAUAAAUGACAAUCUACGUAGUCGAAUCUCAGAAAUUCAAGGUUACGCCAGCGACUUGUUGGCGCUGUUGAACAGUCCAAGGUGCUUCUCGUCUCAGCCCAUGCCUUGGGGUUCUCGUUGAACAUGGGCCAUGUUACAUGGCGAAUAUGUACAUCUCGAGCGGCCCAGGCCUCUUGGGCGUGCCCUUCCGGACAUGAUUGACCGGGUUCUGAUUGUACGCCCGGCGGGUUAUCCAUAUGGUCCUACUCCAGUACUCCUGAUCAAUUCUUCUGAUCAAUUCUUGAUGCAAAGAAGGAAAUCAUUAGUUCCUAGAUGGAUUAGAGAGGAGGAUUUCUUGCAACAACUUGAUGAAAUAUGUAAAUUACUAGCACAAUACCCGUGUGUUGGUUCGGAGAAAAAAAAUUACAAGACAUGUUUGAAUAGAAUACUAUACUAUUAUUAAGUGUCCCUAACUGUAUAAAAUCAUGUUUAUCUAAAUGGUUUGUGCCAAAAUUAGUUAGAUGCAAAUAGCACAAAUACUCAUGUCCCGCAUCAUUUCCAUUGAAAUGAAACAAGCAUCAUUUUUUUGACGAAAAAAAAUGAAACAGCUAUCUAGCAGCUGUAAGUAUAGCUGUUACGGAUACAUCCCCAACCCGACAGGUUAACUUUCAGAAAAUUCAGAUCACUACUGUCGAAAUUUCAGAAAACCAGCUCUACAUGCAGCAAACAAAUAUAUAUGUCAUGUCACGCAUACAUCAAUUCAGAUCACAACUGAAAAAAUUAGCACAAAUUAAAGUACUAAUUGCAUGCAUCAAUUUUGCAGCUUUAUCAUAUGUCAUGGUACACGGUUGACAUCAAUCAGAAUUUGAUUGGAUACACGGGCGACUUGUCCGGGUUAAACAGCCCAAAGUGCUUCUCAGUCUCGGCUCCUGUCUUCCGGUUCUCGUUGAAGAUAGCGAACAAGUAGGCAUCGAUUGCCCCAGGUCUCUUAGGCGUUCCCCCACGGACAUGGUUGAUGAGGUUCUGGUUGUACGCUUGCGCGUUAGCGACGGUGGCGGCGGCGCCCCCGGCCGACGGCCACCCGGUCUCGGAGAUCACGAUGGGCACGCUCGACCCACCGGCCUUCUCCACGGCCGCGUACAGAGCGUCGACCAUGGCGUCGAAGAGGUUGGUGUAAGUAAGCCCGUUGUCGCGCACCGUGGAGGAGCUGGGCUUGAAGAGCGCGUAGUUGAGAUCGAUGCCCUUGGUGCCCGUGUAGGCGAAGUAAGGGUACACGUUGGCCAGCAAUGGCGCCCCCGUGCUGGCCAGGAUCUUGACGACCUGCGUCAUGUAGGCGUCCCUGAUGGCGCCUGUUGAGGGAGGCGAGGAGGCUGCGAGCACGUCCAUCCUGACCGCCGUGGACACCUUGAUGCCGCUCAGCCUGGCUGCCGAGAGCGCCGCGUUGAGGUUCCUCAUGGCCGGCACGAUGUUCUGCGUUGCGGAGCCGGUGAUCUCGUUGCCGACUGCGAUGUAGCGGAAGGCGACGCCGGGGUAGCGCUGGACGUUGAGCUUGACCCAGUCAGCGGCGACGGAGGCGGAGGAGGCGAUGCGGGGCACGUUCUCGUCGGCGAACCCCGUAGCACACGCCGAUGGAUUGAACCCCUGCAUAUGCAUGUCGUCGUCUCAUCAGUUAACUCACGGCGCAAAAUUAACUAUUAACCAGGCAAAUAAUAGUACUUCUUAGCAUGCAUAUGGUUCAUAUAGUUCAUAGUUUCAUACCAGUGAUGGAUGCAAAGACCCCGACGACGACCAGCAUGGCUGCAAGCACAGAGGUAGCACCAUCUUGCCGUGCCAUUUUUAUACGGAGAGCUGUAGUGCAGAUCCAGUUCCUUUUGCUCCUUGCAAACUUGUGUAUCUACCAAGCAGGCAACCAGGCCCUAUUUAAGUAUUUAUACAGGAUUCCACACUGGGCUGGGCCGCUUAGUUAAUUAGUAUUCCUAAUUUGGUUCCGCUUGAGAGGGCUCAGGAACAGCUACACUGAAAACCUGCAGUGAUCAAGCUAUAUUCAACUCAUUUUCGUAAACUGCAAACUGAGUGAGUAUGGUAAAGAAAGGGUCCUUAAUUUGUUUCAGUGAAAGGGAAACGGAACGGAGGAGAGAUGGCGGUAAAGCAGCCCAGGCCCAAUGCGCGCGGCCGUUUCUUCUUAUCGCUGCACCCGGUGGCAGCGCCGCGCGCGCGGGGCCGGAAAUCAUAGCUUCUUGGGCCGCAGGCCGCUGCCCGGUGCGACUUUACUAACUAUUGGCCCAUUUUCGGGGAAGCCGUCCUGAAAGCCCUAAACAACUUUGUUAUUGCCGUCGGCUUAUAAUACUAUGGCCCAAGAGAAUUAUCCGCUGCCGCCAGCUUGGAAUCUAGAAUCUGGGCUAGUCUAGGUCCACACAUCGGUCUUGGAGGAGGUUGUUCUGGCAUGUUUUUUUCCCUCAUUCAUCAUAUUAAAUUAUUUGCAAAUUCAGAUGUUAAUCGCACGUUUGUUUGCAUAUUUCUGAGGAUGAGAGGCUUGCCACACACGACGAAUACGGAUGGCAAGGAGUACCUGAAACCCGAUUACCCGACGGAUCCAGAUCCGAUUAGAUGCGAGAAAAUGUAAAUGGGAAAAUUUCGGACCCGUCGGGUCUGACGGGUCCCGGUCUGGCAGUGUCUUACCCCAACCCGAAAACCCGCGUACCCGGCCGACAAGCAAUCGUUGGCCCAGCAGGCCCAAUCCACGUCUCUCGAUCCCACGCACAUAAGACCCAGUGCAUAAGCCCGGUCAUACACAAAACAACUACCUACCAAUCCCAUUCCCACUUGCCACCACGAGUCCACAACUCCACGUCUCCACGAUCGGGAAUCUUCCCGAGCUCCUCUCGAUCCCGUGCUCUCUCACCGUCUCUCUCUACCCGAUGCCACCUCUCCCCCAAGUCUCCAUCACCUGUGCGCCGCCACUCGCCGGCGGACAGCCCGUCAGCGGCCAUACCCUCCCUGAGCUCCCCCCUCUCCCUCUCCUCCCUCCUCCCUCCACCCCUCCGACGCGACCUCAGAUCCGGCGCGCUAGGCAGGGACACAAGAGAGGAGGGAGGCGACGGCAACCUCGAGCAGUCGAGCCCUGGUUCGUCCUCGACGACGUCAAGCUGUGGUGAGGACUUGAUUGCUUUUUUUAUUUUGCUUCAGGGUUCUUUGUGUAAAAGUGAAGGACCUUCUUGUAAAUUCACUGGAACCAGUCGCCGGGUCGGGUAGACCCGCGGGUCUGGAAGACCCGAGUCAGGUCCGGGUUUUGUAUUGUCGGACCCGGACCCGGACCCGAACCCGAACCCGUCGGGUGCCAUCCAUAACGACGAAUGCUUAGUUUGAUAUUCUGGAAAAAGGUGGAAAAAAGUAAAAAGAAAAAAACAAGAAGAUUAAACGUUUAUCCGAACAAAAAAAAAUUGUGUCACCAAUGAGAUUUUGUUUCUGAAACCCAUUAAUCAAACUGGUUAAUACAAUCAAACUAAACUGCUUUGUCCGGAUUGUUUUACUUAGUUUUCAUACAUGAAAUAAAAUUUGAAGGAAUUCACAUGAAACCGGCAGAGAUUCCUGUGAAAUUAGGCCAUUAACCACUAGUUUUGUCCUGAUUGCUUCAGCCAUGCCAAAAUCGAGCUCCGCAACCUUUCCGAGGAACGCACCACCCAUAGUUUCAGGAAAUCUCUGGCUACAUGCUUCCACUCUGUUUUCCUUAUCUGUUGACCUUGUUGCAUCUGAUGAAACACCUUACCAACGUUCCUACGUUGUCGUGUGGAUCUGCGUGCUUCGACCAUUGUGCUUGACUUCUCAACACAUAGAUGUGCGCUGCCAUGAUUAGACCUCCAGCAUAUCUGGUAUGUGGUAGCAUCGGCGUUAUGAUAAAGAUAAUCUAUCGCCUUGGGCAUAAGCAUCUCGUCAAGUUGGUCAGGAUGAACAUUGACAUGUGUGAGGUGUUGUUGCUUCUCUCCGUUGAUCACCUCUAUCGCAGAGCCGGCCUCGCCUGCAGACUUCGGGUCAUCCUCCAUAGAAUCAUGAGGCAGGAUUAGAAUUCCGAGCUUCAAAGGGGGGAAAUUCUCCAGAGAAGCAGUCGCGUCAUCACAGCUAAUGGAGGUUGCAAUUGAUGAUACCGGCUGUAAGUUAUUGUACUCAGAGAGUGAGAUGUAACGCUGCAAAAACACUUGGCAAACUGGUUCUGGAAAUUUGUUUCUCCUACCGCUGCUAUUAUUGUUGACGCCAUUGACGAUGCCACAAGAAGGUGAGUCUUUGUGCUCGUAUCCUUGACAACAUAAUGGAUCCGGACGGAACCAUCUAGUCAAAGUUAUAUGGAUGUGAUUCCACAACCCUGGAUUCCAGUGUUCCUUUUGGGCAUUCAUAACCUCCCACGGUACACAUGAGAAAUCUUGAGUGGGUAAUUGGAUGAUCUCUUUGAUGGUGACAUCAGCCGUGGACUUGAAGUGAGGCGUCACCUGCCGCAAGCACUUGACUGCGGUUCCUAUUAUGUCUGUACUAUCGGAGAGUCGAAGCAUGAAAAAGAGACAAAAACUGUUCUUGGGCAUCUUAUGAUCUUGGUAUAUGAAUGACAUCAUGACCUCCAGUCCGCGAUCCUUAAAUUCCAUCGGCCGUAUGCCGAAGGAGCGUAGGCCCGCCGGAUGUGACACCCGAUGGAACAACAUUUUGCCAGCGAAUAAGUGCCCUACGAGAGGAUCAAAGAACAAAUGUGGUCGAUGAGGUGUGCCGCCGAGCUCCACAAACCUCAUGAAUUCGCCAGCACCAUUCGCAAGCCUCUCAAAUCUUCUGACAGAAGCGGCGAUGCUGCCACUAGCUGAGCAAUGAUCAAUAUCAUUGUUCUUGUUGCUGCCGACAAAAGAAGAGACGAAUGCCUUGGUCGCAUGAGCCAUCCGUAUAGGAAAAGAGGAUUGGCUUACCAACUGUUCCUUCUCGUCUUCUUCCUUCGAGAGCCUCCUGCAUGUGCGUGUCACGUCGUCGCAGUCCUCGGCAGCACGCUUCAAUUUCUUCCGCCAGUGGAGCAGCGACACGUCGGUGAUCUGCCACCUGCCGGAAAUCUCCAACGCAGCCUCCAUUUUGAUGCGCGCUAUCUCCAGCCUCUCCAGGCCAUCUUCUGCUGCUUCUUGGUCUGAUUUGUCUUCAUCUUUUGUAGCGUUGGUGGCAAUACCAGAAAAGACCAGGCUAACAGCUUCUCCAACGAUGGCAGAACUAACGAUCUCUGCCAUUAUUGAUUUUGAGUACUAGUAUAGAGGUGCGCUAGCUAGCUGCUAAAGAAAUGGGCUAGCCUUGCUGCUCUCCGCUGCUCUCAGUUCAACUGGUUUUAUUACUCCUCCUUGGGUGAAUUAAUCAGGUGAGCGACUGAUAUAUCAAAGCCUGAAGGUGCUUGACAGUUGACACUUUUCAAUCUUUAUACGAUACGAUACGACAUCGCUGUCGUCAUUUUGCGAUCCGAACUCCACCGUAAGCCUUAGUGAAAAAGACCAUCAUGGCUUUAUACUAGCUUACAACAACCUCCAAAAUAUUUGCAGACAAUUAGACAAUUAAGAACUCUAAUCUACUCUCAAAUUAGGCACUUAGGAACAAGCACAGCAAUAGAAUAACCCGGGUUCCCGUUCCUCGACCCGAACGACCCGGAUAUUCUUGGCAGUCGAUCAGGAGACAGCGAUCAGCCUCUGUCCGUCCAAAGCGUAGGCUAGAAACCAGCUCACAAGACACAGGCAGGCAAGCAGGACUGCAGGAGGGGCCACAGCCAUGCACGUGGAAGGGGCCGGGCUUGCCACGCGUAGUUGGCCAGUCAUGGGCGGCCGGAGGCGGGGAUACAUAACGAACUAUAGCCCUCCGAUCUGGGCCAGAACCGAAGCUUGGAUCUUGCCAUUACAAUGGUUUCUUAGUCAUGAUAGACUGUUAUUUACUUUGAUGCGUCAUUUUUUUUUCUUGCGUCUCAGAGUAAUUUUAUUGGUUGCAGUUGCAUGUCGAAGUCUUCUAGUAUACUUAUAUGAUAAGUACAGGUAGCAGAUGCCACAGAGGUACAACUCAACAAUGGUCCUGCAGCUCUCUUUAAUUUCCAUACAUGAAAGAACGUUCAAAGAAAAUUCAUGAGGAAACUAGCUACCAAAGGUUCCUAGUAUUAAAUUAGCUAUCAACCACAAAUUUUGUCAUUGCUUCAGCCAUCCAAAAUUGAGCUCUGCAACUGCAACCUCUCCGAGGAACGCACCACCGGUAAUUUCAGGAAAUCUCUGGCUACUAAGACACUUAUUAUGGAUCAGAUGGAGUAUAUGGUAUACAGGUAACGGAUGCGAGAGGUACAACUAAACAAAUGGUCCUGCAGCUCUCUUUAAUUUCCAUACAUGAAACAAAGUUUGAAGGAAAUUCACGGGGAAAGUAGAUAGCAUGGAUUCCUAUGAAAUUAGGCCAUUAACCACUAAUUUUGUCCUCAUUGUUUCAGCCACGCCAAAAUCGAGCUCCGCAACCUCUCAGAGCAACGCACAACCCAUAGCUUGAGAAAAUCUCUGGCUAUCUCCCUACACUGCCUUUUCCUUAUUUCCUGAUCCUGUUGCAUCUGACUAAACACCUUACCUAUGUUCCUAUGAUGUCGUGUGGAUCUACGUACUCCGACCAAUAUGCUUUUCUUCUCCACACAUAUAUGUGCGCUGCCAUGGUUAGACCUCCAACAUAUCUGGUAUGUGGUAGCCUCGUCAUUAUGAUAAAGAUAAUCUAUUGCUUUGGGCAUAAGCAUCUCGUCAAUUUGGUCCGGAUGAACAUCAACAUGUGAGAGGUGUUGUUGCUUCUCUCCGUUGAUCGCCUCUAUCGUAGAGCCGGACUCUCCUGCAGACUUUGGGUCCACUUCCAGAGAAUCAUGAGGCAGGAUUAGAAUCCCGAGCUUCAAAGGGGGGGAAUUCUCUAGAGAAGCAGACACAUCAUUAUAGCUACUGGUGGUUGCGGUUGAUGAUACAUGCCCGAGGUUAUUAUACUCAGAUAGAGAGAUGUGACGCUGCAAAAACACUUGGGAGACUGGUUCUGGAAAUAUGUUUGAAAGCCUCAAUUUGUUUCUACUACGACCAUUACUAUUGUUCACGCCAUUGCCGAUGCCAUAAGAAGGUGAGUUUCUGUGCUCAUAUCCUUGACAACAUAAUGGAUCUGGGCGGAACCAUCCGGUCAAAGUUAUACCCGGAUUCCAUUUUUCCUUCUGGGCAUACAUAACCUCUGAUGAUACACGGGAGAAAUCUUGUGUGGGCAACUGGGUGAUCUCUUUGAUGGCGUCAUCAGCCGUGGAUUUGAAGUGAGGUGUAACCAGUCGCAAGCACUUGACUAUGGUUCCUAUUAUGUCUGUGCUCUCAGAGAGUCGCAACAUGAACAUGAGGCGGAAAUUGUUUUCAAGCCUCUUAUGAUCUUCGUACAUGAAUGACAGCAUUACCUCCAGUCCACGAUCCUUGAAAUCCAUCGGCCGUAUGCCAAAAGAGCGACGUUGGCCUCCCGGAUGUGACACCCGAUACAAUAACAAUUCGCCUGCGAAGAUGUGCCCGACGAGAGGGUCAAAGAACAGAUGCGGUCGAUGGCGUGUUCCGCCGAGCUCCACAAACCUCAUGAAUUCACCAGCACCGUUCGCGAGCCUCUCAAAUCUUCUGACAGAGGCGACGAUGCUACCGCCAGCUGAGCAAUGAUCAUUGUCGUUGCUGCGACCAAAAAGGGAAGAGACGAAUGCCUUGGUCGCAUGAGCGACCCGUCUAGGAAACGAGGAUUGGCUUACCAACUGUUCCCUCUCAUCUUCUUCCUGAGAGAGUCGCCUGCAUUUGCGUGCUAUAUCGUCACAGUCCUGAGCUGCGCGCUUCAAUUUCUUCCGCCAGUGGAGCAGCGACACGUCGGUGAUAUGCCACUUGCCAGACGUCUCCAGCGCAGCCUCCAUUUUGAUGCGCGCCAUCUCUAGCCUCUCCAGGCCACCUUCCGUUGUUUCUUGAUCUGAUGUGUCCUCGUCUUUUCUGGUGGUGGUGGCAAUACCAGAAAAGACUAGGCUAACUGCUUCCCCAACAAUUGCAGAACUGACAAUGCCUGCCAUUAGUGAUUUUGAGAGUAGUAUACCUAGUAUUUUUGCAAGAGAGGCUGGCUGUAGGUGCGCUAGCUAGCUGCUCUAGAAAUGAACUAGCCUUGUUGCUCUCCCGUGGCUCUCCGAUCCCUUAAUAGUAUUAGCACUCCUUCGGGGAAUCAGGUGAGCAACUGAAACAUCAAAGCCUCAAGGCCACUAAUCUACUCGGAAAUUAGCCACUUAGGAAUUGGCUCUAUACACAGUAAGAUAAAGUAGAUUUCUGUCUGCUGCUCCUCGUCAAUUCCGUAGUUAUGAUAUGAGAUGCUUGUCUCGAAUCUCAAAGAAAAAUUUACAUUCUGCCCCAGGCCCGUUCGGACGGGAAACUCUUGGCCAAUGCUUAGGGAAAAACAGAAGUCCCUGAUCGGCCCAAACCAGAUAGAUGAACAAAAGGCCCAGAUCCUGUUUUUCCGGUCCAAACGUCAACAUAUAUACAGGCUUUUCUCCAUGAAUCUCAGCAAUAAAUCAGACGGUUCUCGGGUUUACAGCACAAGAAAGCCUGAGAAAUUCCUCUCUAAAACAAAGAGGCCGAGAAAUAGCAAAUCUGGAUAAAAUACAUACUACUUCCUCCGUUACAAAAUAAGUGGCAUGAAUUUGUAUAGAUUUGUAGAUUUUAUACAAAUCCACGCCACUUAUUUUGAGACGGAGGGAGUACAAGUUUACAGCACAACGGUAUCAAAACCACCCAUCUUGGAUCUUGCCAUCCUAAUGGUUGUUAAUCUCUCUUUUUUUUACAAAAUAAUCUCUUCUCUUCUUCAUAUGAUCUCAUAUAACCCAAUAAAUUCAGUUCCCGCUUUUAUUUUGCAUGCAUCUUACGGGAAAGCUUAUUGAAAAGAAAAGAAAAACGAUUAUAGACAUGGAAAAAUCUAUGUACGUACUUGAUCCGCACACUUCAGAAAGUCAUCGGGUAGGCCGGCGCCUUGUCCGGUCCCCCGUUGAACAGCCCGAAGUGCUUCUCGGUCUCAGCCCCUCCCUUGAGGUUCUCGUUGAACAUGGCGAAGAUGUACGUCUCGAGCGGCGUCCCGGGCCUCUUGGGCGUGCCGUUCCCGACAUGGCCGAUCAAGUUCUGGUUGUACGUCCUUGCGUUGUCGACGGUCGUCUCGGGGCCGCCCCCCGCCGACGGCCAGCCGCUCUCGGACACGACGAUCGGCACGGUCGGCCCGCCGCACUUCUCCAUGGCCGAGUACAUGGCGUCCACCAUGGCAUCAAAGAGGUUGGUGUAAGUUAACCCGUUGUCCGGCACGGAGGUAGAGCUAGGCUGGAAGAGCGCGAAGUUGAGGUCGAUGCUGCCCUGGCUGCCGGCGUAGGCGAAGUAGGGGUAGACGUUGGCCAGCAGCGGCGCGCCCGUGGACGCCAGGAGCCUGACCACCUCCGCCAUGUACGCGUCCUUGAACACCCCGCCGGAAGGCGGCGAGGAGGUGCCGAGCACGCUGGUCUUGACCGCCGUGGACACCUUGACGCCGCUGACGCCGGCCGCGGCGAGCGCCGCGUUGAGGUUGGUCAUGGCCGGGACGAUGCUGGCCGUGGCGUCCCCUUCCACCUCGUUGCCGGCCGCGAUGUACUUGAUCUUGACGCCCGGGACGAAGGGCUUGACGUUGGCGGCGACCCAGGCCGUGGCCGCGGCCGGGUCCGAUGCCAGCGCCGCCAGGCUGCCGCCCACGUCCAUGACGAGCUCGAUGCCCGUCCCGGAGAGCGCCUUGAGCGUUGCCUCGUCCGGGGCGUAGAUGCGCAUGCCGGCGAUGUUCUUGGAUUUGUAGAGCGCCACGACGUCCGCUGGCGACGGCAGGUUGUCGCCGUUCACCCCGUAGCACACGCCGAUGGAUCGCACCUCUGCCCGGUUCAAUUCCACAACAGUUAGUGCAAAUUAAGAGUAGAUUUCUCUUGAUUCAUGGGUGCUCUGCUAUGCUCACGCGCAUUGCUUGCUAAUUACCGGUGGGGAGGGAUGCGAGGAUUCCGGCGACGAGCAACGCCACGGCGAGCGCGGAGGCGCGUUGGCCAGAAGCUGCAGCCAUCUUGGGCGCCCGUUUGAUGCAGGUACUCGAUUAAUCCAGGUAUACAGUAGUGGAGGAGUAGUAGCUGGAAAACAGUUGAUGCACGUACUCGACUCUGCGAGCGGUUGCAGGGCACUAGCUAGGCAGGUGUCCUGCUAGUAAUUUCUUGCAUGAAUGUGUGCCCGAGCAGCGAAAGCACCCUGGAUAUAUAUAGUAGAGGAUUCCGGUCGAGAAUAGUUGGGCGAGUUGGUCGUGGCGAGCUGCUAUUCUGGGUCUCCUUUUUCCAAUCGCUGAUCUGCGGUCUCCGCGCGCGACGCGCGUUCUACUUCUGCUGCCCCUGCCGCCGCCGCGAUUCUCUCUGCAUCCCUUCCUGCAAUAUGGGCCUAGCCAGUCCGCCAGCCAAGAGCCCACGAGCAGUCCGCCCAGUUGGCCUGGCCCAAGUUUCUCCUGCACUCGCCGGUGGCGCACCGUGACCGAAGCUCGAUGCUGCCUCUGGACCUUCGAACCACGUCGGAGCCAGAAAAACGUUGUUGACGUAGCAGUCGGAAAAUCGCCGGUCGAAGCCAGAAGACGCCGGCGACAGUGAUAUGAGAAACAAAGCACUGUUCCGAAGAAGAAGGCGACGAAGAGGGUUGGACGAUCACCCCUGAUUCGGCCAGACGGAUCCGAGAAAACCUGACCUCACUAAAUCCACGAUGAGGUCGAAACUGACCGAGCUCGCCGAUCGGAAAAGAAACCCAAUAAACCAAGACACACAACUUAUCUGCAAAACACAAACACAAAUCUAGAUCAACCACUCCGGAAAAGCAGCGACCAACAUCACCGUAUUCCUCAACGCCACUGGCAAAAUCGCCGUCGACGAGAUAGACAAGGAGUUGGAAAAAAUUUAUUCUUAACCCGUACAACGCCGUCAUCACCAUUAUAGCGCCGCUGCCGAUUGCCCAAAUUCUAACUUUUUGGGGGUUAAAACGUGUGGCUUGCAAGGAGAGGAGGUAAAGACGUGUGGCGAUGUGAUCUAUUGUUUGGGUGGCGGCUAGGGCACGGAAGUCAGAAGCUAAAGCGGACCACGUAGUGCGCCGGUUUAUUGCACUACCCAGUUUAACUUUGAAGCAAACACAUGGUGGACGGACUUUAGAGCUGCAAAAUUGUGGCCCUCAGGGUACCCUUUGACUCUCCUUAGUUCAACCAAAUGAACUAAAAUUUUAAAAUGGCACAAUUUUUUAAAAAUCUAGUUCAUUUGUUUGAACUAAAGAGAGUCAAAAGAUACCUGAGAGUUACCAUGUUGCUCUGAGAGCAUCUUCAGCAGGGCCUCUAUCCUGUCUUUAGGGGCUGGAGGCAAAAAAAAAUCUUCAGCAGGGUCCCUAUUGAGGAUCCUGUUCUAGGGAGCUUCCUAGAUUUCCCCCUCAAGCCCCCAUUCCCAGGGACCCAAGGGAGCCCCUAUUACCUUCCACGUCAUAUUUUGCCUGUCUUCUUCCCACGCAUGCACUGCCAACUCUCCGCGCGCCGUCGAUUCUUGCCCCUGGCCGCCGAGCACCGCCGCCGCCCCGCGCCCUCCCUCCGCCGCUGCUCUACUCCCCGUGCAGUGGCGCUGCCCCGCCCCGCGCAUCGCCCUCGCUCCUGUUCAACUGCAUCGUCGGCCUGCGGCGCCCCCGCGCCCCUAUGCCUCCGACGACCUCCCCUGCCUCCGCGCCCCUCCGCCACGCCGCGCCCGGCGCCCUUGGCCGCGCCGCCUCCGUCGUCCAUGGCCGGCGCCCUCGGGGAAGAAGGCAACGGCACCACGUUGCUUCUCCUCGCGCACGACGAUGGAUUGGGAUCAAGGAGGAGGCAGAAGAAGAAGAAGAAAGAAAAAAUGAAAAAGAAAAGAAAAGGCAACUCUAUCUUUGACAAGUCGGUCCCGCAUGUCAUAAAUAGAAUAGGGACUGUGAAACAGGGAGCACUGUUGAAGACAAUUGUAUUUUUUAGGAUCCUAAAAUUUGAGAAGAGUUCCUGUAUGCAAUUUAGGGACCUUGUUUAUGGGCUACCGCCGAAGACGCUCUAACGGACUUAGAUUGGCGGCGCGAAUGUUGCAGUAGCGGGGAGAUACGAGGCGGUGUAAGGAUAAACUGUCUCCAUGGCGAUGGUGUCGUCCUCAUCGGUAACCUCGCGCACCUUGGUCAGCUCCAUGGAUUCGGGACAGAGCGUGUACACGCCGACCGUGCUCCACAGGAACAGCGGACCGCUCUCCUCGGCGACCCCGACGAUCUUCACCGGCGGCACGAAGUACGGGCCGAAUCCCCGCCUGAUCGACAGCGUCACCUCCGGCAGAACCUCGCUCAGAUCAACCGUGUUCCGUAGCACCCAAGCUUCAUCUUCCCGUGCCCACAGCCGCAGGACGAACCCCUGCACCCCGGCAAUGCCGAGCACGCCGCCGCCUUCCGCCGCCUUGAAGCUGAAGAGACGGACAUUAUUGGUGUCGACGUCGUCUGGCUGCUCGAACGUGGCCAGGCUCUGCUCCUCCGUGUCGUAGGCCGCCACGAGAUGGUAGUGCAGCGGCUGGUAGAACGUGCUGCCGAUGGCGGCGCCAGGAACAUGGCGGACCACGCAUGUCGGCGGGAGCUCCCCUGCAGUCGGGAUCCACCGGCCGGUUCGCGAGGAGAAGACGCUUCCUCGUAGGUUCCCUGAUUGCCUGUGAUUGAACAAGGCGGCAAUGCGGAACGGGCUGGCAUGGCACGGCGCGGCGAUCUGGCCGCCUUGGUCGACAUCAUCGCCGUGGCAGCCACAGAGCAGGGCGGCGCUGAAGCGGUGGUCUUCGCGGGGCGCGCCAUGGGCGGCGUUGAGCUCCCUGGCGAGGACGAGGCUGCGGUGGCCGGUCAUGGGGUGCCAGACCAGGAACCGGUUCUGCGCGCCGUGGCGGCAGUCCAGGGCGUUCGCAGGCCGUGCACAUCGAAGGAGAAGCUCGCGGGGCCGUGCAGGCCUGCGUGCACGGGCUCGAACCUGCGCGUGCUCGCGCCGAAGUUGUGGAAGAAGCCCAUGGUGACCGCCGGCCGGCCGCGGAGGAAGCCGGGGUCGCUCAGCACGCGGCGCCAGUCCCUGCAGACGGCGGAGGCGCGGGCCAGCACCUGAGGCUACGGCGGCAGGCGCUCCAGGAUCUCGAGGAUCACCUCGUCCGGCAGGCUCGAGCUGCUCAUGGCGAUCGAUCUAUCGAUGGCGUUCUUCCGGUUUAAUUUUGCGGCGCCCCUGUUUCGUGGUUUCGUCUCACAGAUUAAAUACACCGCGAGUUAAUUACAAAUCUUCUCGACUACAAACUCCAGACCAGUCCGGAUGCAAAAAAGAGGUCAAGUUUAAGAGCUCAAGGUCACACGGCUGUGCGUCGUCCCGUCUUCCAUCCGGAUCCAGGACACGACGGAGAAGGGCUUCUCGGUGAUCUCAACGAUCCUUGCUCCUCUUGGCCAGUCGCCGUAGCCGCCGUGCCCCGUGUGCCGCGCGAAACAGAGCCACAGUUCCUCGUAGGGGCAGCACCAGUCCAGCCCGUGGUUGUGCCCCACGAAGAUCGCCUGUCCAAAAACACACACAACCACAUCUUACACAUUCUCAAGAACAGGAGAAAUUCUGAAAUUUACUAGUAGUAGUAGUACUUUGACUGAUGGCCUCUUGGCGACGGCAUCCAUCAUGCCCCAUUCAGCUUCCUGCGGUGAUACAUCUUCCUUGUUGAUUGAUCCAACACAGGGCUUCCUUAUCCGGGUCUUGGCCUUGGGAGCCACCUUCGCGUAUGCCGUGCUGGGUAUGUGCCAGAAUAUCAGCUCAGGAAUCCUGCAGCGCUCCCAAAAUUUUAUCCCAGGGAAUUAUAUUGAUGCAGAGUAGGAAUUCAUUCAGGCUAUCAUCAACUUUCGACCUGCCAUCUGGGUUAAGGAAGUGGGACUGGGUCUGGAACCACUUGAGCUGCGCGCCGGAGAUGACUUCCGGGUAGGACCCGCCGCCGGAGUCGAGGAAGUACAUGAGCAGAGCCGGGUCAUCUUCUUCUUCCUCCUCGCGCGAGAGCACCUGCAGCACGUAGUUGGACACGCCGGGCCACAGCUCCUCGGGGCCGCUCGACGAGUGCGACAGCCCUUCGUUGGCGAUGUCAGCCGCCAUCAGCUCGAUCCGCGGCGUGCCGCGGAAGCUGCAGCACUCUGAAACCGACGCCGGCGGGCAUGGGCAGCGCAGCGGCGGGACGCCGGCGGGGGAGAACCACUCGGGCGGCCACUCGAAGGGCAUGUCGUCGUGGUUGCCGAAGACGGUGGCCCAUGGGAUCCCCCUGCGCCUGGCGGCGGACAGCGCCCUGUCCCAGUACAGGCUCGCGUUCCGGAUCGGCACGUUGUUCGCCGUCACCAGGUCGCCCAGGUACACCACGAAAUCUACCAGAAAUUCGAAAAAAUUCAAGAGAUUUUUGCCCUAAAACGCUUGCGGCGCAGUGAAAUCGGAAGGAGACGACAGAUAGACAAGAGACAAGCAACCGGACCUGGCUUCUCGGCGUCGAGGACGGCGGCCAUGACGCGGUCGGAGCCGGCGUCCUGGGCGGGGCCCCAGUCGGUCCAGGCGUUCUCGCCGUAAUGCAGGUCCGCGAAGAGCGCCGCCUUGAACCGGCCGCACGGCGGGAACCGCAGCGGCAGCGGCCGCCGGUGGUGCUCUGCCGGCCCCGAGGCUCCCCCCAGGGCCAGCGCAAGGAGGAGGGCCCCGGCUGCCGCCGCGAGGAGGUGCUGCCAGCGCCGCCGCAUCCGGUGCGUGCGUUCUCGGUGGCGAUCUAUCGAGCUGGGGAGAUUGUCAAGUGUGGCGGUGGCAGCUGGUCUUACUUUAAUCCGAAGUCUUGGGGAUUGGGGAAAAGUUUCAACUUCCAAGAAGAAAAGCAGAUUCUUCUUCUUGGUGCCAUGAAAUGCAGCUGCUCCUGCGUCACAAUCACAGACCAGGACAGACGUGGCACUUCUUCAUCUCCUGCCUCUCAUCGGGCCGCCGCUGAAGACGUAUCGUUGGACGUUGGUAAUGUUAGAUUAGGGAAAAAGGAAUGCACAAGAUUAUACUACUCCUACUCAGGUUUUUAUUAGACAGAGACACUUGUUGAGGUUUAUCAGCCAGGGGCUGGAAUAUGCGGAUGGAUUGUUGUCGUAGGCAGAGAAUAUGCUCGUGAUGCUGGUUGCAACCUCCGCGCCGCGGAGCUUAAAAUGCAUGGUCGUUAAUUAGUUUCCUUAACCUCAUUCACUGCAUAAAUGCCUGGCUAGAAUGUUAGUGACUCCGGACCAACUAAAUACUCCAUCUGUCUCAAAUGCAAGAUGCAGUACUAAAUUUUUUAUUGAUUGUCAAAAAAUAUAUUACAUUUUGACCAACCUUAUAUAACAUAAAAUUAACAACAUCCACACUUGUUUUAUUGGAGAACUCUUUGAAGCCACACAAGAAAAGGACGGUCACUAAAUUCUCCUUGCCUAUUUGGCUGAACUGAACCUAACUGCACGAAGGAGACUCUGGUGCAACGUACGGCAAAAACCAACAGCUUUGGAAUUUGCGAUACGAAAAGGGCCCCUGCACACCACGCCCCGGUACGCAGAAGCUGACGUUGUGCCCUCUACCAGGCAGCCUUUUUUUUUUUGAGCGGUCUACCAGGCAGCCUAUGAUGCGCGUCGGGAACGCGAGCCCGGUCGGUGUUUUGAUCCAGGACGAUGGUGACUGGGCCUGGGCUGAGAUGCACUUUCCUGGUCCAGGUUUUACUGGGCUUGGGUACGUACUGGGGCGUAUGAAGGCUCGUGGAUGUGUUCCAGCCACACGCGGUGCGGAUGGCGCUGAGAGCCCGGCGCCGCUCGUCGUAGCGCGACACCUCAAACGUGCCCGAAUACAGAGGCCGGCGGUCAUUGACGGGCCUGCUCGCCAUCAAGAGACCGUCCUCCCGGGCCGCCGCCGACUCAACGAGCACGGCCCAUACUCGUACCAAAAGUUAACCCCGACCAAAUUUGGACUUGCGUGUCCCCGACGAAAUCGAUGACCGAAUCCCCUCCCGAUCAGAUUACGGGUCUGUUAAUUUGAUCGAAGCUAAACAUAGCUACUCAUUAUAAUGUUCAGGUUACUUAUCAUACCGUGCAUACUCAUUCCCCAAUUAACACCGCGGUGUCUCUAAUUCUCAAUAGAUAUCAUAUCGCAGCUCCCACAAAACCCCAUGCAAAAACAUGUUCCCUCAAACACCAGCAACUUAUCAGAAGUUGUUCAAACUUUAGUACUUGACCAUUCAAAAUUUGUCUACUCCAACAAAUGUACUCACAGAACUAAGAAACCUCUGAGCUAACCUCUAACGAUAUACAAAUAGCUAGUUUUUUUCUUACCGGACUCAUUAGGAGAUAAUUAAGCAGCAUUGCCAGGUUCCAGAAAACAGAAAGAUAAGACGCAUUGUUUUUCACUUCCGGAGUUCAAAAUCAUCCAAGCAGCACACAAGAGCCUGAAGCUAACACUCUUCACGGCGAAUGAUGUAGACCACCAUCUUCAGCUGCUCCUCGUUCCUCAGCACCUCGAAUAGGCAGAGGUCACCCGCCUGCAGGUGGUUGUCGCGGGCGAAAGACGGCCAUCCUUUAGCGAUCCUCGUACGAUCAAUCGAGCGUCGCAGCUGGCAGGACCACGUCCUCCUCUUCCUCCCAUCCCGUUCAAGGAGCAAACUGAUUGCUCCCCUCCUUCCACGAACACCAGUUAGUCCCGUAGCAUACUUUUCUGCGAGGUACCGGGAUAUGUACUGCGAGCUAAAGACCUGUUUAUGUACAUACGCAGGAAGGAUGUUGGGAGUCAAAACAGAUGCAGAGAUGUGAUCCAAGGAUACAGGUACAGUUGACAAACUGAGUACAGGAAAACGUCUGUUUCUUCUGAACUUACUGGAGAGGGGCUGCCACGCUUGUGGACACAAACAUCGCUCUUGUUCAUCACCUUCCAGUAAAUGGGCAGUUCUGACUUAAUGGCUUCAAUUUUCUCCAUCAUUUUCUUCUCCUGCGCUCGCAAUAGACAGGAUGUGUCUAGCGGCAUGAAGCGAGCCUCAGAAGUUUCAUUGGAAUUGUCAGAGAAUACAUGCUCUCCAUGGCCCGAAGAUGAUAUCUCUUCACCUGGACAAGAUUUCCCAUGAAUCAGACAAACAAGAUGUGAUCUGAAAUGUGACGUAUGGAUUCUAGCGUUGGCAAUGAAUUGAAAAUAUGUGAUUUGAAAUGUGCCGUACCAUCGAUAGUUCGUUCUUCCUUAACACGGGCAGUCAAGGCCAUCUUUGUGCUUGCGCAACCGUGAUUUAACAGGAUGCGAGGCUGGGAAUCUUCCUCGGAACUGUCAGAGGAUCCAUGCUCUGCAUGGCCCCAAAAUGAUAUCUCUUCACCUGGACAAGAUUUCACAUGAAUCAAACAAAGAAGAUGUGAACUGAAAUGUGACAUAUGGAUCUGGCAUGGGCAAUGAAUUGAAAAUAUGUGAUUUGAAAUGUGCCGUACGCCCGUACCAUCGAUAGUUGGUUCUUCCUUAACACGGGGAGUCAAGGCCGUCUUUGUGCUUUCAUCGAUAAUUGGUUCUUCCUUAACACUGGCAGUCGAGGCCAUCUUUGUGCUUGCACAACCGUGAUUUAAGCCAAUAUCAGUACUUCCAUCAGGGGAGUGAUCAAUGCUUGCUUUGUGAAGUGGAUGGACCGUCACCGUAAAAAUGUGUCCCUUAACUUUUGUGAUUGGUUGCAGGAGGAAGAUAUCACCCUUUCGAACAUGAUUAUCGCGGACAAAGUUUCCAAUACUAAGGUCGCACCGACCUGCUUUAGACUCGCCAGAUGGCAGGAUGUAGAAUUUGCAGUUCCAAUGCUUGCUCUUCCCAGGCAGCUGGAGUAUGAUAGUUGUAUUUUUGGGUGGGAAGUACUCGCGUGCAUAAUCCUUCCGUAUUAUCUAAUUGAAAAAGGGGCAAAAUGAGCUGUUUUAUCUGAUAGCUAAAGUACUCAAGACUGUCACAAAGGCUAGGUUGUUGUCAUACACAUGACUUCAACUGUAAAAUAGAGCAACCAUACUGCCGAUUCAGUAACGUAUAAAAGUAUUCUUCAGAGGUUUGCGACAGUUAUGAUCAGAACACCCACUUCCCCAACAAUAUCAAAAGGAGAAAAUGUUUGUUCCUGCAGGAAAUUAAUAGCUCACACGAAAUUUGCAUGGUAAGACUAACGUACCAGAGUAAAGUUAUGAUUUACAUUGCUCUUCUUCAUCAGUACAACAAGCACUGGGAUUUCAGGUUUAAUUUUCCCGACAAGUGCAUGUAAUUUUGUCAGCUGUUCUUCUGUAAGAUCGCACAGCCCUGAUAAGACAUAAUAUUUUGAAAGCACUUGAAGAUCAUCUGACUCCAUAGAGUCAUCUAGAGAUGGAUUGUUUUCUGCUGCAAAAGAAUUUCUAGCAUAAGAGAGCAUAUGGUGGUGGGUGACUGAUUACUCUUAGUACACUACUUAACCUGGCAGUUCCUUAGAAGAAUAUGCUGUUGAAUCUGAUCCCUCGCCUGCUGAUGACUGAGAAGCACUAUCACUACCCAUCGAGUCACGGCAGGGGACUUUCUCCUUACCAUUGGAAUCAAAUAUUGUAACCUCAAAUCGGGAGGUUCCACGGUAUCGAAACAUCAAACAAAAAUUUUCUUCUAUUUGAUUGGCAUCCACAAAUGCCCUCCAUCCAGACUGGAGGAAUGUUGUGUUCAUCUUCACAGUAACUCCAACAUCAUAUAUGUUACCAUUAGGGGCUUCUAGUUUGAUGCUCCCCACGAUAUUUCUUCCAAAAUGGUUUAUAACCCAUUCAGGUAUAACCUGUCGCAAGCAGCAAUGGUGCAAAGAAAAAUUGAGGCCAAACCAAAAAAAAUCCUAAAAGGUUGAGGGAACUCACUGAACUAGGAAAAAUAUAGAGAGCUAACCAUGCUAUGCAUAUAAUUGCCAUUUAUAUGCCUGAUAAAUCGUAUCUUACUCUGGCAGCAUCCGCAAGGAUUUCUCAUCUUAGAGACUUCCUAUAAAACGCAUCAUAAGAAUGUCAGAUGGCGUUAUUCAAACCUCUGUUUGUGUAACUGGUGAGAUGCCAUAAGAUCUUUCAAGACUACUAGUAAUGAUGACAUAAAAUCCUCGUUUCAAUUCUAAUACCACCCGAACACCUGAAUUAGAGGCAGGGGAAUACCAAUUCCGAAUUCCACCUCUGAAUAUCUACAACCAAACGCACUUCAUAAAAUCUUCCAAGAGUAUGGAUUUUUUUUUGUCUAGAAACAACAAUAACAACAAAGAAAUCUCAGCAAAUGCUGCCCUGAGCCCCUGAGGUCUGCUUAUUCAUUGUCGAAAGAAAGAAAUCAAAGCAGAAGAUGAAAAGACACAUGGUUAAAUUGCAAACGAAGAGUGAGAUUUGUAAGAAGAACCUUACCAAGGUGCUGUAGGAUUCAGGAUGUUUCAAGAGGAAAGGGAUCGAGCAUCCAAAGCUUACUUAUGAAGGGAGCUCCAAGGGACGGAAAGGGCAGCAACAAAGGCCAGACUAGAGGCAAUGGUCAUUCAUGAAGGGUAGCAACACACCUAUAAAGUGAAGUAUUUCUCACGGAGACUUUUCACAUUCCAAGACAUUAACACCUAGUGCUGUGAUCUGUGGAAGACGUUGGGUCGUCCAUCUUUUUGUUGGACUUGUUCAUUGUUGGUUGUCAGGGUAUCUCCAAUGUUAGUUGAUACUAAAUUUCUUCUCUGUCCUUUUCAAUAUGUUUUCUUGUUUUUUUAUUAAUUUCUUUUUCUUGAUGGACCCACAUGUCAUCCUCUUUUCUGUCUUGGUAUCCGUGUAGUACAUGUUCUUCAAGUAAAGAGGAAAAGGUACCUGCAUGAGGAAGAGAAAACCGCUGCCUCAGGAAGGUACCAUAAAUCAAUUCAAGCAAGCAUGUAUACGGAGAGGCAUUUUGGUCCUGCAACUGCCACAAGUGCAAAUGCGCCCCUUAAAUCUGGACGAAGCAGUUCAAAAUAUAUGCCCCUUAAAACCGGACGGAGGGAGUAGUUGUGGUGUCCAUCUCUCUUCCCAGGUUUGCGUUUCGAGUUGCAGUAGCAACAACUGCAUUAACUGGGGUCAGUGAAGACCGGAAGAAAAAUAAUCCUACUACUACUCCAUUGUUAACAGGUUAGCAUGGUCUGGUUGACAAGUUUGGCAUUGCUGCGAUGCCAACUGAAUGAACUAAAUAGAUGUAAACAGUAGUAAUAAUACUUUUGGUUAUGGACCUUGAGGAGAGGAAAGCGAGGAGCUUGAAGGCGCGAUGUUGGGCGCGAAUCGGCUGAUGUCGUUGUAGCCUGCAGGAACACAAGCUCCCCCGCAGCGUGCGCCGGCGCACGACUCUCCCUCACGGCAUCCUUGAUGUCCCUCGCACAGCCGCAUUCGUAGUCGCUGGGGGAGGCCAUCGGUGGGCAGGGAAACCGCCGGCGUCGAGGUGGGCGCGGGAUCCCGGCGGUCGAUCCAAGCGGGGGGGAGCUACGACGGAGGCGGGGGAGAGGCAACACUCUGGGCCUCUUAGGUGUGCGCGUGGAUUUAGGCGGCGCCAGGUGGAAAGCUUGUGGCGCCGCCGUCGUGUGUUCAGCGUCCGGUGAGCCGAGCGCGACGGAGGGGAGAGGAGGAUGGCGUUGUGCGAAGGUGCGAGCCCAUUUUAUUUUCUUUCGUUUCAUUUUGUUUUAUUUCGAGAUAAAGAAAAGCCCAUUCGAAAAUUAGUACUGGUCCUACUGGAGCGAUCAAAGUGUACUCUACUGUCUCUAUUUCUUAACGUACUCCGUAGUAUAUUUGCUCAAAGUAUAUUUUUGGUUGUUCUAAAUUAAACUUUAUUAACCUUGACUAAAUUACUAGAAAAGCCACCAACCCUGCUACAUGCGUGAACAUUUCGCGCCCAAAACCUCGUCUGCGUGUUGACGCAUCCGCACGAACACGGUUUACAGGCUAAACCUAAAAUUAACCUACCCUGUACAAGAAUGGCAAGUUAUAGAUGUGUUUGCUACAUUUUACAAGUAGAUGAACCAAACUGCUCUUGUCACUAAAAUUGAUAUGCUUGGGGUGCUUUUUACUCGGGAUUAGUAGAACACCGUGCAAACCGUACAAUUGGAAAAAUUUAAGGACUAUCUGGAUCAAAGGAUUAAUCAUAAAACGUAGGAAUAUGAUACAAUGGCAUAUUGAAUAAUGCAUGAAUUGAAACCACAAUGGCAUAUUGAAUCAGUGAUAGAGAUUGUUUGGCUGUACCGUAGGAAAAAUGUAGGAAAUUCGAAUUCGUACAGGCCAUUAGUGCAUGGCAUCGUUGUCCUGGUCACAAAUGAUAAUUUUUUUUUUCCAAUAAAUCAAACAUCAUGCCGUAAGUCCUAUAGGAUUGGAGAGUAGAAAAGCAAACCUUAGAAAAUUUUGAAGAUCCAUUCCUUUGAAUCAAAGAGCCUCCAUGUAAGAAAUCCAGUGAACUAAAAUCUCGUAACAAUCCUUUGGAAAUCCUUCAGUCCAAAGAGGCCCUUAGGUUUAAGACAACAAUUCAUCCGUUCGAUUGAUGCAAGAGUUCCCCUUUAUCAAAAAAAAAGAAAGAUCCAAGAGUUCCCCUAUUCAUUUUGUUCGAUCGACUAAUAUUCCACGUUCGUCAUAGGGCGGCAGAUCAAACACAUACACUGAUACACAGAUCGAUCGAUCAGGGCUUUAUUUCAAUUUCAUUUCGUUCUCAAUACAAAGUACAUCUAAAUGAUCUAAUAAUAUUUACGAAACCCAUGCUAUACGCACAACUAGUAAUUUGUGUGGUUCUUGGCUCCUUUCUUCAGGGGAGCGUGCUGGCGUUGCUUUGCCGCUGGCUGCUGAACCCCAUGGAAACUGAUGGGGCAAACCGGCGCUUUGCUGGGGUAAAACAGCCCAAAGUGCCUCUCCGUCUCAUCCCCGGGCUUCAGGUUCUCGUUGAACAUGGAGAAAAUAUACGCCUCCACGGGCGCCCCAGGCCUCUUGGGCGUCCCCUUGCCAACAUGGUCAAUCAAGCCCUGGUUAUAAGCCCUGGCAUUCUCCACGGUCGCCCCGAACCCGCCCGCCGACGGCCAGCCGGACUCGGACACGACGACUCUCACGGCGGGCUCCCCGGCCUUCUCCAGCGCCGAGUACAACGCGUCCACCAUGGCGUCGAACAAGGUCGUGUACACCAGCCCGCUCCCGUCGUCCCUCACCGGCGUGCUCCCGGGCUGGAACGUGGCGUAGCUGAGAGCAAUGUCCUUGGGAUUGUCCCUGUAGGCGAAGUACGGGUACACGUCGGCCAGCAGCGGCGCGCCCGUGGACGCCAGGAACCCCGCCAGCGGCACCAUGGUCUCGGCGUCCUUGAACGCGCCCUUGGACGGGGGGAAAGUGUCCACUAGCGCGUCGAACCGCAGCGCCGUGGACACCUUGAUGCCGCCCGCGGCGCGGGCGCCCAGAGCGCCCGCGAGAGCGAAGUGGAGGCUUUUCAUGGCCGGCAGGAUGCUGGACUUGAAGGCCGGGUCGCCCGUGAUCUCGUUGCCGACGGUGAUGUAGGAGAUGUUGACGGAGGGGUAGUAUGGCUGCACGUUGGUGGCGACCCAGGAGGCCGCGUAGCCCGGUUUGGAUGCCAGGAGCGGCACGUCGGCGUUCGCGGUGCCGAGGAUCACGGCGAUGCCGGAGCCGCGGAGCGCGUCCAGGAGCUCGGGUUGGGGGUUGUAGAAGCGCAUUGCGGUGAUGCCGUUGGACUUGUAGAGCUGCACCACGUCGUGGGCUGGUGGGAGGUCGCUGCCGAUCACGCCGUUGCACGCGCCGAUGGACUCCACGCCUGGCAUUAGCAUAUAUAUGCAAUUAGUAUAGUCCAGAUUUUGCUUGGAUGGAUAUUUAUGAUAGAUGAUUGCGGUACAAUGUAAAACUACCCAAAAUGUGUAUCAUAUCGGAUGGUACACAUUGAUUGGUCAUUUUCAGUUUUUUUUUCUUUCUUUCUCUUUUUUUUAGAGGUUUUUCCUUCGUGUCUCUUACACUUUGGGAGCGAUAACAAAUGUGGCUUCUUCGUCAAAAUAAAACGCCCAAUGAUAUGCAAUUGUUUUACGAUCCAUGCUCUGCUUCUUUAGUGGAGUAGUAGAUGUAUAAAGAAAAAAAUUUGACGAUUUUUCUUCUCUGUAGGUAAUUAGGCUGCCGAAUUGUCUAACGUUCACAAAAUUAAACAGCCAAAUCGCUAAUGGCGUCUGGAUACACCCAAGGAGGCGAUAGUCUAGAUGCACUCCCGUGGUGAGACAUUAAUUAGAGCUGUUCUGCAAUCGACCUGCAUCUUCAAGCUGUUCGAUUCUGAUCAUAAAUUUAUGUAUAACGACAUAUAAUUCAUUACCAAAAUUCUCUCUUUCUUCAGCAACAAAUCUAUCAAGAAAAGAAAGAUAUAUAAACUUGCAUGACUUAAGUUAAGUCAGUUAACAGAGAAUUCUCCACGGUUAUAAAGGACCAUCACACGCGUCGUUGUUGUUUCCAAGAAUCCAAUAGGACCUCUCAAAAAAAAAUCUAUAGGAAGAAAUACCUAGCCUUUGAAACGGGCCUAAACAUACCUGCAGGAACGGAGGCGAUGAGAACUCCAACGAGUAGCAGAGCCGAUGCAAGACGAAGCAUCGGAGCAGCAAGGCCGCCUUGCUCGCCGGAUCCGGACAAGAUCAUCGUCAUAUCCGACGGCCCUGGAUUAUCGAUGUAUCUACAAGAGCUGAUAUGGGCCGGCCGGCAGGGGCACCUGUAUUUAUGUUCGUGGCCAGCCUGCGAAAUGACGCCAGGGUCCAACGACACCAGUGCAAGGGCACCGGAUUCUACAGGGUCAAACCUGUCAUUGUUUCUGGUUUUGCUUUUAUGGAUGGCUGAUCUCUCCCUUACCGUAUACAGGAGUAGUUUGAUCUAUGGUAUCAAAGGGGAUACGACCCUCCUUCUGCCUUAAAUGGAAAUCGGCAGCUGGCGUGCCGUAUUUAUUCUCGAAUCAAUGACCAUGAAUUCUUACUUAGACUUGAAUUUGGAUAAUCAGAUGUGACACCCCAGCAUUCAUUUCCCAUGCCACCAUAAGAGAACUGGACAUAUGAGAACUUACCAAAUGGAAGAGCAUGUGACCAUAUUUGUUAAGGGGUAGCUUUUGGCCACUUCGGCAAGGUUUGGAGGUUGUGGUCCCUUUAAGAUCAAGAUCUUUCUUUGGCAAAUUAUUUGUGAUCGUCUCUCGACUGACUAACGAUCACAUCCGCAACUGGCACGGGCCGAGUGACGAAAAAUGCAUGUUCAAAACUUCCCUUUUUCUGCAGAUAUAAGAGCCGGUGACCAGGAGGAGAGGAGCUGGUAUUCCGACAACUAAAUUAAACUUCUUGUCCGUUUCGAGCUUUAUUAAUUUAUAUCCAUUCAAUCAUUCCUUUCCUCUAAAGAGUAUGUGACCAUUAUGCAUUUCCUUUUAAAUCUGGUGCCCUGGUAAGAUAUCACCAGAUUAAUCAAAAGAUGUGCUGAUUAACUUCCAUCGUGGUUGUCAUUGAGUUGGAUCCAUCCAUGUGUGGAGGUGGAUUUGAAUAUGUUGCUGACUCUUAGUUUUCUUCUCUUUCAUAUUUCUCUUUCUUUCUCAUUAGCAAUUUUCAAAUAAGAGUCAAUUAAGGUUCAACCUUUGCAAAUGCCCAAACCAUGUUUGUGGCGUGCAAAUUUGGAAUUAGAGGUCCACACCUCAUAACCUAUCCUUUUCUUUUAAUGUAGCAUCGACUGUUCCUUUUUUUACUGUACAUCGAGUGUUCCUUACUACCCGGUAUACCACAAAUGAUACAUGGUAAAAUUCGUAAAUGUGACUCAAAAGUUCCAAUGCUCGAGGGAUCCAUUAACGAUGUAUAAGUUACUUUUGUAAAAAAAUUGUUUAAGUUACAGAAAAGUCCCUAGAAGUUACACAAGAAAUACAUAAGUACAUUUGAUACAACAACUACUGAAGCUAGAGUAUACAUCCAGAGGGCAGAAAUUCACACCUUCUGGCAUCACAAUAUAUAUCUCUGCCUGAUGAUGGCAAUCAACCCUGACUGACCACCAACCCCUUAUCGGCACCAGACCACAUAAAUGACAAAUUAGCUACUUAAAUGGUGCCCUAACUGUACACACAGUUUCUCUCCAAAUUUCAAUAUUUACUUUUUGUCGAUUUGGUGAUGAGAAUUUUAUAGAGAACCAAUUUUCCAAUGGCCUUCGUUUGUCAUCUUUCAAAUAAUUGGCUUCUCAUGGUACUGCAGAUGUCAUCUGCCACAGCAACAUUUUCAAGUAGGUAUUUCUCAGCUGCUGCCUUGUCUGUCAGGAACUCACCAUUGAUCCAAUACCCACACCCUUCCUUCACAAUAACUCCAUGAGAAGAAGCCAUUUCCAGAAUCUCCGAUUCGUAGGCGAUUCCCUUCCCAAACGUAAUGUCGAUGCCAGCUUCCUUCAGAACUGCUGGAGCUAAUUUGUUCUUGAUGAUUUGCACUGAUAUGCCAAUGCCGGUAGCCUGAAAAGGCAGAAUUUGUUACCAUCAUAGCAAGGUUGGAAUGUACCUGAUGGUUAAGCUAAAGUCAUGGAUACCUUAAGCCUUUAGUAGAACAAUGUGCAUUGGUCUCUCUAGUGCAAUCAGCUAAGGUUAAGGGGGAAACAGCAACUAAGAAUCGAGAAAAACUAUGUGCAAUACCUGGUCAUCAGUGUAGCGCAGUUCCUUUCUCGAAGUCCUCACUCUGAUUGCUGCAUAGAACCCUAAUGCGUUGCCACCACAGGCCACCUCCUUGUAAAGCCCAGAAAAUUCUUUUGAGCUCCGCCUUGUUCUGACCUAUAAAUAUAACUAAUUAAUAGUUUCGUGGAUAUGAUUCAAUGCAACAACAUCAAGAAACACAAUGAACUUCAGACCUGAUUCACAAAAAUAAUAAGUGUUUCUGACCGACUUAAUGUGUAUUGAAUUUUCGAAGUGCUCGAGUCAUUAAACGGGAUUGCGUUUCUCCAUAGUUCGUGUGCAUUUCGCCUUCAAGCUCACAUUUGGGAAUAAGUCCUGCUACCUGUCAUAAAUCCAUUACAAAAGGUAAACAAAAUAUAAUAUAAUUUAUAUAACAAAUGCAUAAAGUUGAUGGAGCAUUGUAUAUUUGAAUAAAAAAAUAUCUAAAACUGAAAGAGCAUAUCCUGUCCCGACAAUGUCAAACGCAGCGUGCUUAAGAUGCAGAUUAACAGUUCUUCCAAUUAUAAUGCACUGCUCUUAAAUCAUUGAUUUAAUAAUCCAACUAUCAGACAAAAUAACUACUGACGCAUCUACAUUUUUUUUGUAUAACUAGGAAAUGUGUGGUCUUAAAAGUUCAGUUAUAACAAAGUAAACAUAAUAAGCAACAAAAGAGAACCGAAAGAUUCAUGGAAAUGGUGUAGUGAAGUAACGUACGCUAUCCACAACAACAACAUCAAUAGAUCCACCAACAAGAGUGUUCACUAUGCUUAAAGAGUUUUCAGCAGAAUCAGGUUGAGCUAUUAGGAGUUUUUCAGUGUCCACGCCGAUGGCUUCCGCAGAUGAAGGGUCGAAAGCAUUUUCUGCAUCAAUAUAGGUGCAAUAACCUGCAAGCAUGCCAAAUCACAGAUAACGAUCAGAUACUCUACUUAGCAAUAAGAAAAGCAUAUCAAGCAUCAAGUGUAAUGAACAACAAAGCAUAAAGAGAAAGUACAGAAUAGCUCUAUGGAAGUACUUCAAAAGAAGAAUACUUUAAUCGGUUGGAUUAAACUUUUUCUUGGUCACUAGCCAGUAUUGUAACAUGUAAGAAAAGAGUCAUCAAAUUAGAACAGUAUUUCCAUUAAAAAGAAUGAGUACUGUUUAGAUAUGCCUGCAAGGAGGCAAUUUUACAUAGUACCGACACGGGUAUGCUAACAAAAAUCAUUACUAAUGCAUGUUGGGUAAAGUAUUAAAAACUGAAGAAAAAAGGAACAAAAACUACAGGAUAUUUCAAUACAAAAACGCUGAAAGGUUGCUAGUAAUCUCAUGUACAGCUAGAUUUCAUGAUAAUCCAAUAUAAAAACUACAGGAAAAACAACAGAAAUAUCGACCUCCACUCUUUUGGGCUUCCUUGACAACAUGAAGUGCAAGUGUUGUCUUCCCAGAUGACUCUUUCCCAAAUAUUUCAACCAUUUUACCCUGUCAAAUAAAUAAAUUCAGUAAUUUGUUGAAAGGGGCAACUAAAUUUAGCUUGGAGUAUACUUAUAAAAUCAUAAAUCUCCUUUUCAAAAAAAAUCAUAAAUCUAAAUAAUUUAUCAUGUGAAUAUAUUGUUCUGAUUUUCUGAAUAUUAUGGAAACGAAUUACAACCUUUGGUAAUCCUCCAAUGCCAAGAGCGAGGUCAAGCUUAAGAGAACCAGUAGGAAUGACAGAUGCACGCCUUGUCCGGGAGAACCGCUCCAAACAUAAAUUAGACUCUCUAUCAAAAUCACCUGCAAGUUGAGAGACUGCAACAUUUAGCGUUGACUCUUUCGCCAGAGAUUUUGUAUCAUCGAGUGGGGGAUGGCUCUCAUAGUCUACCUGCAUAUCAACUGAAAUUUUGUACAGAUGUGAAUACCACGACUCGUAAGGAAGAAAAACAAUGUGGUUAUGGAACAACAAAGACUGCAAUAGUACUAGUAACUUUUGGAGACCUCAUGCUCAUAUCCAUCCAUUAGGAGAAUGGAGAUUUCUAUGGUAAAGACAUCAAACAACAAGAAGAUAUCAGCCGUAAUUGUGGUUGACAUGAAACAGUCUUGUGACCGAAACGGAUAAAACAUAUUGCUUCUUCCAUUCUAUCAAAUCACAGUAAGAAAAAAAAGGUAGCCAGCAUUAUUUGAUAGAUAGAUCAAAGUAUUUUGCAUACGUAUCAUAACACACACAAGCAAGUAAAAAACAAGAGAUUUCAGAGAGAUUGGCAUUUGGACAGAAACGGAGCGCCGAGAGUGGCAGGCGGGGAUGAGCUAGCGAGCACCUGAAGGGGUAAACGGCGGAGAUGGGAUGCUAAGGACGGAGUGAGGCAUCCUGCGGAAGGGCGGCGGCUGCUCGUCGGACCGCGGUGAGGAGGCCCAUGGCGCUGGCGGGGGAAGAGAUCGAGGAGAGGAAGGAGAAGGGUGUCGCAUAACUCUGUCUCCUGCACGGUUCAUACUCGCCAGCCCAGUGGGCCGUGGCGGGGUUAGGCGGCAACUGGGCUCAGCCCGCUUGGUGCCAAUCAUGCUUACUACCCUCCUUAAGAAAUCCGUUGUCUCAAAGAAAGAAAAAGAUCCUACAGAAAUCCAUAGAUUGGUCUUUUUUCUCUCGAGCUUUUUGGUACAAAAAAAAAUCUACGAAAUAUUUUAUUAUAGUUCUUAAUUAUGGGAUUUCAGUUUUCCAUAAUUGUGGAGCUACGUUUUCGAGUUUGAAUAAAGUCACACAUAAUUUGGAAAAAACAAAACUCUUUACAUACAGUGCCAAGAGUUUCACAACAACAGAUAAGGUAGACGGUGUCAGGCAACCGAAUCAGCUGAUUUUCAUUUUGUUCGAUUUGUGCCUUAUCAAUUUGUGCACAGUUGUUUUUCUCCAGCAGAAUCUGCGAUUCGGUUGUCCACAGCGUAGAACAAAAUCAGGAAAACACAACGCAUAUCUCUCGAGCCCUCCUCUGUAAGUACCACGCGAAUCAUACCCAUACACGCAGCUGUAUUGCAUUGCAUCAAAAAAUCAAAUCAAAACAGUUCCACGGGCGACCAGGUCGUCGUGUUGCCACAAGCAAAUAAUUGCAGGUUGAACCGAGGGCGUAUCUUUGACUCCUGAUCGAUCAGCUUGAAUGACCUCUUCAUCUCUAGCUAUAUCAAAAAAAAAAUAAAAAAAAAAUAGUACUCCUUGGGACAAACACUUAGGUUUUGUGCACAGUUUAGGUUUGGUAAUAUAGUAGUACUAGAUCAUGAUAGCGCGCAUUGCAGCGCCCGACCUUAUAGUUGCGAAGGACAGAUGUGAGUGCAAACUAAUAUAAUGACAUAAUGAAUUGCACAUAACCUUAGUUUAUUGCUCCAAAAGUAAAGACAUAUAUACAGUGUAAUAAAUUGUUAUACCAAUUAUAGAAAGAAAAACAAAAAAUCCGAAGCCACAUUGUAAAUCUAUUUUAGGCUGACAAGAUGAACCGUGAACUACCGCACAUUUGCUCCUUGCAAUGUCCUUUUAGUUCUGUGGAUGGAGGUCCUCAAAGGCAUGAUAAAUAAAUGGAAGCAUGUGAAGAAUGAUAAAAGAAAUGGAUCUACUGUAUCUGUACUUCGUUGCAAAUAAGCUGGCCUGAUAGGAAAAGCUAGGUGGAUUAGUUUGUUUGAGUACAAUACUUUCCCACAUUAUAAAUUCAUAGUAAAAUUAUUAUAUUUUCAUCUCCGAAUAACACAACAGCAACAAUAAGAGUUCCAAGUAAACAAGUA
Molecule: long non-coding RNA, 32748 nt
Filed under: Brachypodium distachyon (stiff brome)
Lineage: Eukaryota; Viridiplantae; Streptophyta; Magnoliopsida; Poales; Poaceae
Description: long non-coding RNA (BDIS_LNC002749)
Rfam family: MIR5070 microRNA precursor family (bases 14575-14689)
Source: RNAcentral